Molecule: ribosomal RNA, 512 nt
Filed under: uncultured bacterium
Lineage: Bacteria
Description: partial 16S ribosomal RNA
Rfam family: Bacterial small subunit ribosomal RNA
Source: RNAcentral
GAUGAACGCUGGCGGCGUGCCUAAUACAUGCAAGUCGAACGAAACUUCUUUAUCACCGAGUGCUUGCACUCACCGAUAAAGAGUUGAGUGGCGAACGGGUGAGUAACACGUGGGCAACCUGCCCAAAAGAGGGGGAUAACACUUGGAAACAGGUGCUAAUACCGCAUAACCAUAGUUACCGCAUGGUAACUAUGUAAAAGGUGGCUAUACUACCGCUUUUGGAUGGGCCCGCGGCGCAUUAGCUAGUUGGUAGGGUAAAGGCUUACCAAGGCAGUGAUGCGUAGACGAAGUGAGAGGUUGGUAGGCCGCAUUAGGAGUGAGACACGGCCCAAGCGCCUACGAGAGGCAGCAGUAGGGAAUGUUAGGCAGUGGGCGAGAGCCUUAUGGAGCAAGGCAGCGUCGGUGAAGGAGGUCUUCGGAUCGUAAAACCGUGUUGUGAGAGAAGAAAGUGCGUCAGAGGAACUGUUGACGUUGCGACGGUAUCUAAACAGAAAGCCACGGCUAACUACGUG